RNAcentral lists this ribosomal RNA (498 nucleotides) under uncultured bacterium. RNAcentral's name for it is "partial 16S ribosomal RNA". It matches the Rfam family "Bacterial small subunit ribosomal RNA", at positions 30 to 523 of the family's 1533-position model. The record is from RNAcentral.
AUUGAACGCUGGCGGCAUGCCUUACACAUGCAAGUCGAACGGUAACAGGUCUUCGGAUGCUGACGAGUGGCGAACGGGUGAGUAAUACAUCGGAACGUGCCUAGUAGUGGGGGAUAACUACUCGAAAGAGUGGCUAAUACCGCAUGAGAUCUACGGAUGAAAGCAGGGGAUCGCAAGACCUUGUGCUACUAGAGCGGCCGAUGGCAGAUUAGGUAGUUGGUGGGAUAAAAGCUUACCAAGCCGACGAUCUGUAGCUGGUCUGAGAGGACGAUCAGCCAGCCGGGGACUGAGACACUGCCCAGACUCCUACGUGGGACGGCAGGGGGGAAUUUUGGACAAUGGGCGCAAGCCUGAUCCAGCAAUGCCGCGUGCAGGAUGAAGGCCUUCGGGUUGUAAACUGCUUUUGUACGGAACGAAAAGCCCUGGGUUAAUACCCUGGGGUCAUGACGGUACCGUAAGAAUAAGCACCGGCUAACUACGUGCCAGCAGCCGCCGUAA